UAUGGCCACAUCACGAUGAAACAUCUUUCCGUACGAUCACCGAAGUUAAGCAACGUCGAGUCUGGUCAGUACCUAGAAGGGUGACCGCUUGUGAAUAACAAGUAUU
Molecule: ribosomal RNA, 106 nt
Filed under: Acanthosepion pharaonis
Lineage: Eukaryota; Metazoa; Mollusca; Cephalopoda; Sepiida; Sepiidae
Source: RNAcentral